This 725-nucleotide ribosomal RNA is filed under the name Madracis pharensis. RNAcentral's name for it is "partial 12S small subunit ribosomal RNA". It matches the Rfam family "Bacterial small subunit ribosomal RNA", at positions 314 to 1493 of the family's 1533-position model. The record is from RNAcentral. Lineage: Eukaryota; Metazoa; Cnidaria; Anthozoa; Scleractinia; Pocilloporidae.
UUUCACUGAAACAAGGGGAAACCCUUGGCAGCAGUAAUGAAUUUUAUGUAAUAUACGAAAGUAAGACAUAGGUAGAAUAAAAAAAAUCUGUCAAAUUAAGUGCCAGCAGACGCGGUAACACUUAAGGAUUUAUUUUUUAAUAAAAAGCAAAAAGCGUGUUAAGGAUUUUAAAAAAAAAAAAUAAAUAGAAUUUUUAUUUCGUAAUUGUGGAAUGUUAAAAUGAAAAAAAGAAUUUUUUAUAUGAAAAUAAUUUAUUUUUUUUUCUUAAACACGAAGGUUUUGGGAGCAAACAGGAUUAGAGACCCUGGUAGUCUAUACAGUAAAAGAAUAUCGCUUGAGUAGUACGGUCGCAAGAUUAAAAUUCAAAAAACUUGGCUGUUCAUUGUUAAUUAGAGGAGCGUGUCGCUUAAUUCGAUGAUCCGCGAGAGACCUUACCGAAGUUUGAACUUAUAAACAGGUGUUGCAUGGCCGUCGUCAAUUUCUGUUUGAGACAAAAAGCGGUUUAAUCCUAUCAAGGUCGAAGUCAGGUAUUAUGACCCUUAUAUUUCGGGGUUAGAUGCGCUACAUUUCUCUCCUAGAAAAAGAGGGGUUCGGAUUGUUUUUAAAAUAAGACGAUGAAGUUGGAUUUAAAAGUAAUUGAAAAGUAGUGCGUUUCAAUGAAUUUUAUGGCAAUGUUAGUACAAAUCGCCCGUCGCCAGCCGAGAAAUGGGCUGUAAGUCGUAACA